RNA transcript from Pogonomyrmex barbatus (red harvester ant), 2912 nucleotides. It is a transcript of the gene named transmembrane protein 209, with no coding region annotated. Lineage: Eukaryota; Metazoa; Arthropoda; Insecta; Hymenoptera; Formicidae. The record is from RefSeq and is a predicted model, not a curated record.
UUAAGUUGUGUUGUUGGCAGCAAUUUUGAAUUUAUUCGCUAUUGAGAUCACGUUUUACAGAGUGAGGGAGAGUAAUAAUACCUUUCUUGAAAUUUAAAGUAAUAUUAGAAAUUAUUUAACGUUAACGUGACAUAGAUUUUUAAAUAUGAGUAACUUCCACUCUCCUAUGAAAUGUAUAUCUCCCAAUGCGAGAAUUUUAACGCCGAAGCCACAAGUACAGCAGUUAUUGGACAUGCGGCAAAUACAAAGCAAAGCUCGCAGUAGUAUCAUUUGGUUUUUAAUCAACGGCGUGUUACUUAGCAUCAUAAUUUUUGAUUUAUUCUAUGGUGGAUUUACAUACAAACCAUUUUAUUAUAUUGAAUGGUGUCUAGCGUUGAUAUUUGUUUUAAAUGCUUUAUACCAUAUUAUUCAAUAUAUUUGGGCCAUUCUAAGUUUAAAGCCAAUUACACUAGAUCCUAAACAAAGGCCACUUUUAGGAGUCUCGGAGGAUGAUCCUCUGUUUAAAUAUGAGACGCCUAAGAAGCAAAUGACUCCAGAGCCAAGUCCUUCAUUGAAUAUAUCUAGCAUUGGUCUUGGCAGACGUUCGGCAACUCUUGGAUCUUCAGUUCUGAGUGACAUGAAGGAUUAUUCAACUUCAAUCCCAUUUCUUAAAUGUACUACUUCUGCAUCCUCUAAAGUGACCAUGUGCUCUAAUGGAUCAGCCAACAGAUCCAUGAAUAUUUCUUUAAGUAGUAACUUGACAAACGAAGAUAUCAUUCAGGAUGAGUGUGAAUUGGAGAAUUAUCUCAAAGAAAUUGAGCACAAGAGAAAAUGUGCACUAUCUACAAAUGUCGAUCAACCCUCCAAUCUUUUGAGCUCCUUCUGGUCUCAUCCUGCCACUCGAAGUCCUGGUGAAGUAUCACCAUUGUUAAGAAGAUGUGCUUACCAACUUGCACCUACUAUAGAUAAAAUUAAAGCAACGAGUCCUGCGGAGGAAGGAAGUUCUUCCAGAGACACAUUUGGUGCACCAGAUGUAUGGAGAAAAUACAGAAUCGAUUCCAAUAAAGUAAAUGAAUGGACUGCCAAUCUUCGGAUGUGGAUCAGCAAAACAGUUGUAGAACGCGUGGCUUUGGAAAUAGAUAGUAUAUGUGUAACAUUAAUACGCCACGGACUGAGUGAUUCGCAGCCUGGUCAUGUAGGAUUGGAUAGACUCAGGAAACUUGCACAAGCGCAAUUUUUGGUUUGUGUGAUUCCAACUCUGCCUACAUUGGUUCCUUUUCUGGAACUCUCGAAUAAUCAGGAAUAUCUCGUAAAAAGAAUAAAAACACUUGCAAAAGGAGGAUCUAUGAGUGAGUUUAAAUGGAACGGAGGUGGAUCUCACAACGGUAAAGAAUGGGAUUCCAGCCUGCCAACAGAUUCCGCGAUAAUAAUGCAUUUAAUUGCAACUUAUAUGGAUACACAAUUGGAAGCACCCUUGGAUCAACCGGACGCCAGACCAUUUACAUCGAGAUAUAUGGCAAGAUCUGGUAUGGAACUCCCGCGAAGUAAAGGUCCAAUAAUAGUCUGUCAGUCCAUAAAUCCGCCGCACUAUAACUUGGCACUAUCUGGUGAUUCUCUCCCAAGUGAUUACGAGGAAGUACAACGGGGACGCAAUAAUUUGUUUCAUACACUUUUACUAUUUUUGUAUAUACUCAAAUCGCGAAAUCAUGGUAUGUUAGGACGAGUUAACGCAGGAUCAUCCGGAAUUAAUAUCUUGUGGGUCAUAGACAGUUGAAACAAAGCGACCUUUUUAUUUGCUAUCUAGCAAAAAUAGAAGGAAAAAAAGAAGAUAUGAUUGUGACUUGUACAAUGGAAUCAAAUGGACAGCUAUAAGACUCUAUUUGAAGAUAUUAGGGAUUUCAUGAUCCCUAACUACAAGUCUCCUUGUAAUUCUUCAUUUAAGACUUCCGCUGGUUCACUGCAUCUAUCUUAAAUUGAAAAAUAUUUUAUUUUGCAAGAAUUUCUGUUUUGCUUCUAAUAUUAUCAAUCUUAUCUUAAUGGCUACAUUAAGCCAACAAAAAUUUUAAACGAAGCAAUUUACGUAUAUAAUACGUACGUCAUUCUUGCCAAAAUCUUGUCAACAUUGACAACAGCUUAAUAAAAAAUAUAUACAUAAUUUUUCUAUUUUUGCAUCAAGAUAAAAAUUUGUAUAUAUCCGUGCUAAAUAGUCUUAUAAAUGUGCAAACACGCUGCAAUAAAAAAAUAUAUUUACAUUCUUUCUUAUCAGUUAGUAAAAAAUCAUUUAAUCAUUGAUAUUACAACUUUGCAUAAAGAUCUUGAAUAUUAUUAUUAUUGAUUAUUUCAGUUUUCUUUGAUAUCUGAUAAGAGAAGAUAUAGAAAAAGGUUUAAUAAUAUAUGUAAGCUGUUUUUUCCAUUAUUUUCCUUAUUAAUUCAUUGAAACAUUCGACAUAGAGUAAAUGAUAUUUGUGAACAAAGUUUUCUAUAAUUUAUUAUAUUACUCUUUGGAUAAUGCAUUGUAAAACUACAAAGAAUUUCUUCAGCUCGAAUUAACAUAUAUAAUGAAAUAUAUCAAUAUAGUAAGUUUAAUAACUCUAAUACCACAAACCAUAAGAUUAGAACAAAUACUUUAUUUAUUACAACAAAAUCUAAAUAAGAAAUCAUGUCUCACAUACAUAUAACAAUGCUUAUGGUAUAUUUAUACAUGUAGUUCAGUUCCGUACUAAUUUUACAAUUGUUACGCAGACACGAAUUAUUGUUAUUAUUAUUAUAUGUAAGAGCACGUCGCAUGAAACUUACUUAUUAUAAAAUUUAUAAUUUUUGAAACCUUUGUCAUUUCGUUUAUCAUACGCUUUAGUGGAAACAAAAUUACUAAAUUGUAUAGAAUUUUGUACGAAGAACUGUUUGUUGUAAAUAUAACAGAUAUGCGAACUAAA